This is a long non-coding RNA of Ipomoea nil (Japanese morning glory), 342 nucleotides long. RefSeq lists it as uncharacterized. The transcript is spliced from 3 exons. NCBI's taxonomy places the organism in Eukaryota, Viridiplantae, Streptophyta, Magnoliopsida, Solanales, Convolvulaceae. The record is from RefSeq and is a predicted model, not a curated record.
CAUUGGUUCUACACAUAAUUCUUGUGGGGGAUGGAUGCACAAGUAUCUUAUGCAUUUCAUUUUGAACGGAGUAGAAUCUAGAAAAAUUCAAAAAUCAGCUUGUUAAUCAGAAAACAUAUGCAAAGCUCGGAUGCACACAAGGAUGGUUUGCUGCCUCAGUCUUUCAUCCUUCAUCAAAGUGAGUCUAUAAGUUUAGUUAUUAGAUUUCUUUUUGAAAAGCAUAAUGAAUGCAAUGCUGAGAGUUGCUGAUAAUAUUGUAUUAAGUACAAACUUAAAAGCUUAGGCUUUUAUUUUUAUUUUUGUUUGACACUGUCAAUGGAAAACCAUAAAUAUUCUGGUUCA